RNAcentral lists this transfer RNA (73 nucleotides) under Cronartium ribicola 11-2. RNAcentral's name for it is "tRNA-Ile (GAT) (tRNA-Ile-GAT-3-1)". It matches the Rfam family "tRNA". Rfam says of the family: Transfer RNA (tRNA) molecules are approximately 80 nucleotides in length. Their secondary structure includes four short double-helical elements and three loops (D, anti-codon, and T loops). The record is from RNAcentral. Lineage: Eukaryota; Fungi; Basidiomycota; Pucciniomycetes; Pucciniales; Coleosporiaceae.
GACUGGAUAGCCUAGUGGUAAAGGCAUCACAUUGAUCAUGCUGAGGUCCCAGGUUCAAAUCCUGGUCUAGUCA